AUUGAACGCUGGCGGCAUGCUUUACACAUGCAAGUCGAACGGUAACAGGGUGCUUGCACCGCUGACGAGUGGCGAACGGGUGAGUAAUGCGUCGGAACGUGCCGAGUAGUGGGGGAUAACGCAGCGAAAGUUGUGCUAAUACCGCAUACGUACUGAGGUAGAAAGUGGGGGACCUUCGGGCCUCACGCUAUUCGAGCGGCCGACGUCUGAUUAGCUAGUAGGUGAGGUAAAGGCUCACCUAGGCGACGAUCAGUAGCGGGUCUGAGAGGAUGGUCGGCCACAAGGGGACUGAGACACGGCCCAGACUCCUACGGGAGGCAGCAGUGGGGAAUUUUGGACAAUGGGCGAAAGCCUGAUCCAGCCAUGCCGCGUGUCUGGAGAAGGCCUUCGGGUUGUAAAGGACUUUUGUCAGGGAGGAAAUCCCUAGUGCUAAUAACACCGGGGGAUGACAGUACCUGAAGAAUAAGCACCGGCUAACUACGUGCCAGCAGCCGCCGUAA
Molecule: ribosomal RNA, 500 nt
Filed under: uncultured bacterium
Lineage: Bacteria
Description: partial 16S ribosomal RNA
Rfam family: Bacterial small subunit ribosomal RNA
Source: RNAcentral